CUCGAGCGGCGAACGGGUGAGUAACACGUGAGUAAUCUGCCUCUGGCUUUGGGAUAGCCACCGGAAACGGUGAUUAAUACCGGAUACGACACAUCUCCGCAUGGGGCGUGUGUGGAAAGUUUUUCGGCCAGGGAUGUGCUCGCGGCCUAUCAGCUUGUUGGUGGGGUAAUGGCCUACCAAGGCUUCGACGGGUAGCCGGCCUGAGAGGGUGACCGGCCACACUGGGACUGAGACACGGCCCAGACUCCUACGGGAGGCAGCAGUGGGGAAUAUUGGACAAUGGGCGGAAGCCUGAUCCAGCAACGCCGCGUGAGGGAUGACGGCCUUCGGGUUGUAAACCUCUUUCAGCACAGACGAAGCGCAAGUGACGGUAUGUGCAGAAGAAGGACCGGCCAACUACGUGCCAGCAGCCGCGGUAAUACGUAGGGUCCGAGCGUUGUCCGGAAUUAUUGGGCGUAAAGGGCUCGUAGGCGGUUUGUCGCGUCGGGAGUGAAAUCACCGGGCUUAACUCGGUGCUUGCUUUCGAUACGGGCAGACUAGAGGUAUUCAGGGGAGAACGGAAUUCCUGGUGUAGCGGUGAAAUGCGCAGAUAUCAGGAGGAACACCGGUGGCGAAGGCGGUUCUCUGGGAAUAUCCUGACGCUGAGGAGCGAAAGUGUGGGGAGCGAACAGGAUUAGAUACCCUGGUAGUCCACACCGUA
This 700-nucleotide ribosomal RNA is filed under the name Actinomycetes bacterium. RNAcentral describes it as "bacterial SSU rRNA". It matches the Rfam family "Bacterial small subunit ribosomal RNA", at positions 90 to 804 of the family's 1533-position model. Lineage: Bacteria; Bacillati; Actinomycetota; Actinomycetes. The record is from RNAcentral.